Molecule: non-coding RNA, 28 nt
Filed under: Bombyx mori (domestic silkworm)
Lineage: Eukaryota; Metazoa; Arthropoda; Insecta; Lepidoptera; Bombycidae
Source: RNAcentral
GUAUGGGAACUCAAACAUGCCAAAGGGU